GAUGAACGCUGGCGGCGUGCCUAACACAUGCAAGUCGAACGGACUCUUAAUCUGAUUUUUUAUCGGAACGCAUUCUUGAUGAGAGCGGACAUACAAUUUUUUAAUUCGUAAGAUAUUAAAAAAUUCGUAUGUCUGCUAGACAUCAAGAGUUAUUGAUAAGUAAGAGUUAGUGGCGGACGGGUGAGUAACACGUUAGUACUUACCCUUUAGUGGGGAAUAACUCGGCGAAAGUCGGGCUAAUACCGCAUACGAUCCUUCGGGAUGAAAGCCUUCGGGCGCUAAAGGAGAGGCUUGCGUCUGAUUAGCUAGUUGGUAGUGUAAUGGACUACCAAGGCGAUGAUCAGUAGCUGGUUCGAGAGGAUGACCAGCCACACUGGGACUGAGAUACGGCCCAGACUCCUACGGGAGGCAGCAGUGAGGAAUCUUCCGCAAUGGACGAAAGUCUGACGGAGCAACGCCGCGUGCAGGAUGACGGCCUUCGGGUUGUAAACUGCUUUUAUUUGGGAAGAUUGUGACGGUACCAAAUGAAUAAGGACCGGCUAACUACGUGCCAGCAGCCGCGGUAAUACGUAGGGUCCAAGCGUUAUCCGGAAUCACUGGGCGUAAAGCGUGCGUAGGUGGUAAUUUGCGUGCAGUGCGAAAUUGUGUGGCUCAACCAUACAACGGUACUGCAUACG
Molecule: ribosomal RNA, 677 nt
Filed under: uncultured bacterium
Lineage: Bacteria
Description: bacterial SSU rRNA
Rfam family: Bacterial small subunit ribosomal RNA
Source: RNAcentral